This is a non-coding RNA of Sparassis crispa, 75 nucleotides long. Lineage: Eukaryota; Fungi; Basidiomycota; Agaricomycetes; Polyporales; Sparassidaceae. The record is from the annotation of a RefSeq genome assembly.
UCCUGUUUAGCUCAGAUGGAAGAGCGCGUCAUCUAAGUGUUGACGAGGUUAGUCGUUCAAGUCGCCUAAUGGGAA